Scylla paramamosain (green mud crab) is the source of this 1262-nucleotide long non-coding RNA. RefSeq lists it as uncharacterized. The record is from RefSeq and is a predicted model, not a curated record. Lineage: Eukaryota; Metazoa; Arthropoda; Malacostraca; Decapoda; Portunidae. The transcript has 3 exons.
CAGCUCACAAACCAGAUGAGGAUGGAGAGGUCAUCCAACUUCAUUUCAAUAUACUAAAACAAGAGAUGAGGAAAGCUACUCCAGCUAUGCCGGAGAAAGAUGGAGAGAAGCUUCACUUAUAGACACAAAAGGAGGUAUAAUCCUGAGGUAUCUGUGGCACAAAUUUUUGAAGAAAUUCCAACUCUACGAUACAAAAACUUUCUAGCAAUUGAGGCUAAGUCAUUGAAUGUGGCUUCCCCAGGUGAAAUGUGGGAUAAAUUACAUGGAUCCAUCAUUCACUUGAUGAAAUUUUCAAAACCAAGGUCUAAAAACUAUCACCAGUUUCACAGCAGAUAUCUAGAAAAUUUGGACAGCACUCUGAAAGGGCAAGAAAGGAAAGAUGAUCAAGUCUCCAACUCCCACUUUGGUGAUGACGGCAAAGUCAUUUCAAAUCUUCAUCAACGGGGAGAAAGUUCUCAACAACAACAUAACAAAGUUCAGUGAAGCCUUAGAAGCGCUUUACUAUUAUUUUUCAGUAUUUGCAAUAGAGUACCAAAAAGAAAUAAAAAACACAAUGUUUUUUAGAAAAAAUAAUAUUUAAAGGAAGUACAAAGGUGCUGUCUACUGUAAUGUCAUGGGCCAAAAAAACUUGAACAGCUUAAAUAAAGAGGUAAGCUAUGCAGUGUUAAAAACGUGACCUGUUCUGUGUUAGUAGGGAGGCAACAACUGACGGCAAAAAUGUGUCUUUAAGAUUUUUUUUUUUUUUUCCGAGCCGGCAAGCCUCAAAAUCAGUUAUUUGCAAAAGGCUUCAAGUAUUUCAUGUAUAUGGCCUGCCCUGCACACACUGACAUCAGAACAGUGUAAGCCAUCUUUAUAAAACAUUUAAAGCUAGGAGGAGUUAUUGUAUGGAUAUAUUGGUUUACUUUGUAUUCUGUAAAUUUUCAUGUAAUAUUUUAAGAUGUAUAUAAUAAUGAUUAGAGUCAGUAUAUGCCUGGGAGAACCAUCAGGGAUGGUGGUGGCGGGUGGGUCAAGACAAUGUGCACCCUGGUUUAUGCUCCCAUUCAUACCAAAUUAUAUUUAGUAAUUAUUGUAUGUACAUAAUUUAUUGUGUGGAAUGGUCAUUAUUCUGUAAAUUUUUGUUAUAUUCUAUGAUGCAUAUGAUUACAUGUAUAAUUCAAAUAAUGAGAGGCACUGAAUUCCCCCAGAAUAAUUUUUCAUUUUUCUCAUUAGGAAGGGUAAAUUAAGUACACCAGAGGUAAAUCAGCCUAAAAUUUUACCUCACA